Molecule: long non-coding RNA, 471 nt
Organism: Lutzomyia longipalpis
Lineage: Eukaryota; Metazoa; Arthropoda; Insecta; Diptera; Psychodidae
Exons: 2
Source: RefSeq, a predicted model, not a curated record
GCCACCACCAUCUUCUUAUGGAGACAAAGUGUGGCGGCAAAGCAAGGGAGGUUUACACACAGGAUGGGAGCCUUUUGGAUGAAAGAAGAAAAAGAAAAUGCUAAAGGAGUGUCGGCAGAAGCCAUCGUAUUUUCACCUCCAGUGCGCGAGUACAGUGUGUGGUGCAGCUAAAAGACCCUAUUCGCGGUUGAUGAUAAAUCACAUGGACGAUAUAUGGCUCUAGGGGCCAUAUAGAGAAAAUUGAACAGAGACACCCUCGAUCGGGUGAUUCUGCAACUCCAGCAGUCGUAGCUGUGAGGUCAUUUGCAGUGGUGUUGUAAGAGAUGAGUUUUAAAGAGUAAAAGUGGAGAUCAACCCACGUGAUUUGUGUUCCCUCUGUGAGCCGCCUUCGAAAAGCGCCAAGACUUCGAGAUUACACACGGAUAUUGGAGUUCAAUUUAAUAGCUCUUAGCGCCAAUUUAGUAUUUUUUC